Ctenopharyngodon idella (grass carp) is the source of this 1206-nucleotide long non-coding RNA. RefSeq lists it as uncharacterized. The record is from RefSeq and is a predicted model, not a curated record. NCBI's taxonomy places the organism in Eukaryota, Metazoa, Chordata, Actinopteri, Cypriniformes, Xenocyprididae. The transcript has 2 exons.
UCCCAGUGUUGAGUUGGCACAGGCCCUCGCUGACAGCUGGGGACAGAGUGGAUCGACGGGACUCAGGGGAGCACAGAGGCCAGCGAUGAAAACGAAAACAAACGAAAGCCAAGGAACGAGGGAUUGUUGGAGAGCUGGUGGCUGUCAAGAGCCUUAAAGCAGAGAUACAUUUGCAUGUGAUAAACAGAGAGAGCGAGCAAAAGAUAAAGGUUGGGUUAAAAAUCCAAUUCCUCCUCAAGAGGUUUUUGUGGUUGCCAGUGCAAGUGGACCAUCCAAAUAUCCAUUUUGUCCAUGUCUUGCUGUCUCCGUUUCCAGCGGUGCUCAACAAACGGUCGUUAACCAGCCAAAUUAGAAAAGCGAACUCCCGACAGGCUUAUGCACAAUCCAGAAAAUAAUAAACCCACAAUGAGGAGCAUCUUCUGGGGGCCUCGAAGCAUCCUGGAGCCGCCUGGCGUGGACAGAGAUAAGCUAAGACAAUGAGGCUGGAUGGAGCAGGACAGAUAGGACUGCAGCCAGUGGAGGAUGAGGGCUGCUGUCUGCUGCCAUGGUCUUGAGCCUUUCUGGAGCCACAAAACACUCUGCAUUUUGAUUAUUGUUUUGUAAUUUCAUUUAUGUAGCAUUAACUAAGAACGAGUGUCAUAAUUGGCCAAUAAGCUCUGUAUUUAGGUUCUUAUUGAUGUAGGAUUGCGAAUAGAAUCAGUCUGGGAAAUGCUAUUUUUAAAAAUGUUUUUUUAUUAAAAGUGUGCUUUAUAAAAUCCAUUAUUCAAAUUAAAUAAACAUAACUAUAAAAGCAUAAUGUCACUGAUAAUGUUGCAAAGGAAAAAAUUAAUUCACUCCCUCUGAACUUAAAGGUGAUGUGUGUAAUUUCUGCUCCGCCAAAUGGAAAUGCAAAAAAUAAUGACUGUUUUUAAGUUUCUGAACAGGUACACUCACCCAAAACUAUGGAUGGCUUUUUAAAAGGUAAUUUAAAGCAUUUUAACAUUGAAAAAUUACACAUAUCACCUUUAAAUAAAAAAAAAAAAAACACCAUUUAGUGUCUUAGAGGCACUGCUGCUUUGUAACAGUGUCUUUCUCUUUCACACACAUUCACUUCAUACACACAGCUCUAAAUGGACUCUUAAAAGCUUGCCAUCCAGUCAAAUCACAAUUUGAACAAGCAUUUGUUUGUUCUCUGAAACCAAAAACCCAAACCUGGGGGAAAUGACA